GGUUAAGCGACUAAGCGUACACGGUGGAUGCCCUGGCAGUCAGAGGCGAUGAAGGACGUGCUAAUCUGCGAAAAGCGUCGGUAAGGUGAUAUGAACCGUUAUAGCCGGCGAUGUCCGAAUGGGGAAACCCAGUGUGAUUCGUCACACUAUCGUUAACUGAAUACAUAGGUUAACGAGGCGAACCGGGGGAACUGAAACAUCUAAGUACCCCGAGGAAAAGAAAUCAACCGAGAUUCCCCCAGUAGCGGCGAGCGAACGGGGAGCAGCCCAGAGUCUGAAUCAGCUUGUGUGUUAGUGGAACGGUCUGGAAAGUCCGACGGUACAGGGUGAUAGUCCCGUACACCAAAAUGCACAGGUUGUGAACUCGAAGAGUAGGGCGGGACACGUGGUAUCCUGUCUGAAUAUGGGGGGACCAUCCUCCAAGGCUAAAUACUCCUGACUGACCGAUAGUGAACCAGUACCGUGAGGGAAAGGCGAAAAGAACCCCGGCGAGGGGAGUGAAAAAGAACCUGAAACCGUGUACGUACAAGCAGUGGGAGCACCUUUAUGGUGUGACUGCGUACCUUUUGUAUAAUGGGUCAGCGACUUAUAUUCUGUAGCAAGGUUAACCGUAUAGGGGAGCCGCAGGGAAACCGAGUCUUAACUGGGCGUUAAGUUGCAGGGUAUAGACCCGAAACCCGGUGAUCUAGCCAUGGGCAGGUUGAAGGUUGGGUAACACUAACUGGAGGACCGAACCGACUAAUGUUGAAAAAUUAGCGGAUGACUUGUGGCUGGGGGUGAAAGGCCAAUCAAACCGGGAGAUAGCUGGUUCUCCCCGAAAGCUAUUUAGGUAGCGCCUCGUGAAUUCAUCUUCGGGGGUAGAGCACUGUUUCGGCUAGGGGGUCAUCCCGACUUACCAACCCGAUGCAAACUACGAAUACCGAAGAAUGUUAUCACGGGAGACACACGGCGGGUGCUAACGUCCGUCGUGAAGAGGGAAACAACCCAGACCGCCAGCUAAGGUCCCAAAGUCACAGUUAAGUGGGAAACGAUGUGGGAAGGCACAGACAGCCAGGAUGUUGGCUUAGAAGCAGCCAUCAUUUAAAGAAAGCGUAAUAGCUCACUGGUCGAGUCGGCCUGCGCGGAAGAUGUAACGGGGCUAAACUGUGCACCGAAGCUGCGGCAGCGACACUAUGUGUUGUUGGGUAGGGGAGCGUUCUGUAAGCCUGCGAAGGUGGCCUGUGAGGGUUGCUGGAGGUAUCAGAAGUGCGAAUGCUGACAUAAGUAACGAUAAUGCGGGUGAAAAGCCCGCACGCCGGAAGACCAAGGGUUCCUGUCCAACGUUAAUCGGGGCAGGGUGAGUCGACCCCUAAGGCGAGGCCGAAAGGCGUAGUCGAUGGGAAACAGGUUAAUAUUCCUGUACUUGGUGUUACUGCGAAGGGGGGACGGAGAAGGCUAUGUUAGCCGGGCGACGGUUGUCCCGGUUUAAGCAUGUAGGCGGAGGUUCCAGGUAAAUCCGGUACCUUAUUAACGCUGAGGUGUGAUGACGAGGCACUACGGUGCUGAAGUAACAAAUGCCCUGCUUCCAGGAAAAGCCUCUAAGCAUCAGGUAACAUCAAAUCGUACCCCAAACCGACACAGGUGGUCAGGUAGAGAAUACCAAGGCGCUUGAGAGAACUCGGGUGAAGGAACUAGGCAAAAUGGUGCCGUAACUUCGGGAGAAGGCACGCUGAUAGGUAGGUGAAGCCCCUGCGGGUGGAGCUGAAAUCAGUCGAAGAUACCAGCUGGCUGCAACUGUUUAUUAAAAACACAGCACUGUGCAAACACGAAAGUGGACGUAUACGGUGUGACGCCUGCCCGGUGCCGGAAGGUUAAUUGAUGGGGUUAUCCGUAAGGAGAAGCUCUUGAUCGAAGCCCCGGUAAACGGCGGCCGUAACUAUAACGGUCCUAAGGUAGCGAAAUUCCUUGUCGGGUAAGUUCCGACCUGCACGAAUGGCGUAAUGAUGGCCAGGCUGUCUCCACCCGAGACUCAGUGAAAUUGAACUCGCUGUGAAGAUGCAGUGUACCCGCGGCAAGACGGAAAGACCCCGUGAACCUUUACUAUAGCUUGACACUGAACAUUGAGCCUUGAUGUGUAGGAUAGGUGGGAGGCUUUGAAGCGUGGACGCCAGUCUGCGUGGAGCCAACCUUGAAAUACCACCCUUUAAUGUUUGAUGUUCUAACGUGGACCCGUAAUCCGGGUUGCGGACAGUGUCUGGUGGGUAGUUUGACUGGGGCGGUCUCCUCCCAAAGAGUAACGGAGGAGCACGAAGGUUAGCUAAUCCUGGUCGGACAUCAGGAGGUUAGUGCAAUGGCAUAAGCUAGCUUGACUGCGAGCGUGACGGCGCGAGCAGGUGCGAAAGCAGGUCAUAGUGAUCCGGUGGUUCUGAAUGGAAGGGCCAUCGCUCAACGGAUAAAAGGUACUCCGGGGAUAACAGGCUGAUACCGCCCAAGAGUUCAUAUCGACGGCGGUGUUUGGCACCUCGAUGUCGGCUCAUCACAUCCUGGGGCUGAAGUAGGUCCCAAGGGUAUGGCUGUUCGCCAUUUAAAGUGGUACGCGAGCUGGGUUUAGAACGUCGUGAGACAGUUCGGUCCCUAUCUGCCGUGGGCGCUGGAGAAUUGAGGGGGGCUGCUCCUAGUACGAGAGGACCGGAGUGGACGCAUCACUGGUGUUCGGGUUGUCAUGCCAAUGGCAUUGCCCGGUAGCUAAAUGCGGAAGAGAUAAGUGCUGAAAGCAUCUAAGCACGAAACUUGCCCCGAGAUGAGUUCUCCCUGAGACUUUAAGUCUCCUGAAGGAACGUUAAAGACGAUGACGUUGAUAGGUCGGGUGUGUAAGCGUAGCGAUACGUUGAGCUAACCGAUACUAAUGAACCGUGAGGCUUAACCUU
Molecule: ribosomal RNA, 2906 nt
Filed under: Klebsiella aerogenes
Lineage: Bacteria; Pseudomonadati; Pseudomonadota; Gammaproteobacteria; Enterobacterales; Enterobacteriaceae
Description: 23S ribosomal RNA
Rfam family: Bacterial large subunit ribosomal RNA
Source: RNAcentral